CGCACAUUGCGCCCUCUGGUAUUCCGGGGGGCAUGCCUGUUCGAGCGUCAUUAUAACCACUCAAGCUCUCGCUUGGUAUUGGGGUUCGCGGUUCCGCGGCCCCUAAAAUCAGUGGCGGUGCCUGUCGGCUCUACGCGUAGUAAUACUCCUCGCGAUUGAGUCCGGUAGGUCUACUUGCCAGUAACCCCUAAUUUUUACAGGUUGACCUCGGAUCAGGUAGGGAUACCCGCUGAACUUAA
This 239-nucleotide unclassified non-coding RNA is filed under the name Cadophora sp. RNAcentral's name for it is "partial contains 5.8S ribosomal RNA, internal transcribed spacer 2, and large subunit ribosomal RNA". Lineage: Eukaryota; Fungi; Ascomycota; Leotiomycetes; Helotiales; Ploettnerulaceae. The record is from RNAcentral.